Macrobrachium nipponense is the source of this 937-nucleotide long non-coding RNA. RefSeq lists it as uncharacterized. NCBI's taxonomy places the organism in Eukaryota, Metazoa, Arthropoda, Malacostraca, Decapoda, Palaemonidae. The transcript has 3 exons. The record is from RefSeq and is a predicted model, not a curated record.
GUUCUGACCUUCUCUGUUCGAAGGAGUUGCAUGGACCCUCGCGAUUGGCUGAAAGCUGUUCGGAAGGUUUUCAGAUUUCAGUAAGGCUACAGCACUGCCUCAAGUCAGUUCCGUUCGGUUAUCUUGUGUGUGCAUAAUAUUGUGACAUCGUGACUGCAAAUGGGAAUUAUUAUGGGCAUUGUAAUGAUGUAGUGAGAUAGACUUGUGGAUUUUAUUCGUUGUGAAGCAGAGUUUAAUGUCUCCAUGGAAUUUGCGAUUUAUUCAAGUUAUCCAGUGGUACGUUGCCCGUCAGAGGAACGUCAAGUUGCUGCUCUCCUGAGGCCUCUUUUGGGAAGUUCAUAAGUAAAUGAGAGGACGCGGUAAUAUAGGACUGAAGCUGUUGAAGGGCACUGAAUUCUUAUCCCCUUGGAGGAAAAUGUGCUUCGUUUAUCAAGAGUUAAGUAAAGAUUACCGAUCCUAGAUUGAGAGUACUCACUUCCAUGGAAGACAAGCAAAGUACGUCAAUCAGCCAUCCUUCGGCAAAUGUUGGUUCGCAACAAAAUGCUUCGGCAAAUGUUGGUUGCAACAAAAUGCUUCGGCAAAUGUUGGUUCGCAACAAAAUGCUUCGGCAAAUGUUGGUUCCGCAACAAACUGCUUCGGCAAAUGUUGGUUCGCAACAAAAUCAAUAACCCCAAAAAUAAAGCAGAGCAGGAGGAAUCUGCGGACUGUAGGCGAAGUGAAAUUGAAAGAAAUUCAGAGCAAAAAAACUGCAGAUUGUAGUAGUCUCUUAUUUUUCCUAGUGAAUUACGGGACUGGUCUAUAAUGUCCACCCUUCUCUGAUCAUCAUCAUCACAAUAAAAUUUGUGGUGCAAUUCUAGAGAUUCAGGUUAAAUUAAAUAUUCUUUGAUUAAAAAAAAUCUUACAAGAAUUUUGAAUAAAAGUUUCUUUUGUUCGAUAA